RNAcentral lists this transfer RNA (66 nucleotides) under Pygoluciola sp. 1 XHF-2022a. Its description in RNAcentral is "tRNA-Ser". Lineage: Eukaryota; Metazoa; Arthropoda; Insecta; Coleoptera; Lampyridae. The record is from RNAcentral.
UUAAUGAACUUGUAUAAGUAUAUAUUUUGAAAAUAUAAAAAAAGAAUAAUAAUUCUUAUUAACUUC